AUUGAACGCUGGCGGCAGGCCUAACACAUGCAAGUCGAGCGGAUGAAGGGAGCUUGCUCCUGGAUUCAGCGGCGGACGGGUGAGUAAUGCCUAGGAAUCUGCCUGGUAGUGGGGGAUAACGUCCGGAAACGGGCGCUAAUACCGCAUACGUCCUGAGGGAGAAAGUGGGGGAUCUUCGGACCUCACGCUAUCAGAUGAGCCUAGGUCGGAUUAGCUAGUUGGUGGGGUAAAGGCCUACCAAGGCGACGAUCCGUAACUGGUCUGAGAGGAUGAUCAGUCACACUGGAACAUAGACACGAUCCAGACUCCUACGGGAGGCAGCAGUGGGGAAUAUUGGACAAAGGGCGAAAGCCUGAUACAGCCAUGCCGCGUGUGUGAAGAAGGUCUUCGGAUUGUAAAGCCCUUUAAGUUGGGAGGAAGGGCAGUAAGUUAAUACCUUGCUGUUUUGACGUUACCAACAGAAUAAGCACCGGCUAACUUCGUG
This 484-nucleotide ribosomal RNA is filed under the name uncultured bacterium. RNAcentral describes it as "partial 16S ribosomal RNA". It matches the Rfam family "Bacterial small subunit ribosomal RNA", at positions 30 to 507 of the family's 1533-position model. The record is from RNAcentral.